Molecule: ribosomal RNA, 501 nt
Filed under: uncultured bacterium
Lineage: Bacteria
Description: partial 16S ribosomal RNA
Rfam family: Bacterial small subunit ribosomal RNA
Source: RNAcentral
AUUGAACGCUGGCGGCAGGCUUAACACAUGCAAGUCGAGCGGAGAGAGGUAGCUUGCUACUGAUCUUAGCGGCGGACGGGUGAGUAAUGCUUAGGAAUCUGCCUAUUAGUGGGGGACAACAUUUCGAAAGGAAUGCUAAUACCGCAUACGUCCUACGGGAGAAAGCAGGGGAUCUUCGGACCUUGCGCUAAUAGAUGAGCCUAAGUCGGAUUAGCUAGUUGGUGGGGUAAAGGCCUACCAAGGCGACGAUCUGUAGCGGGUCUGAGAGGAUGAUCCGCCACACUGGGACUGAGACACGGCCCAGACUCCUACGGGAGGCAGCAGUGGGGAAUAUUGGACAAUGGGCGCAAGCCUGAUCCAGCCAUGCCGCGUGUGUGAAGAAGGCCUUAUGGUUGUAAAGCACUUUAAGCGAGGAGGAGGCUACUUUAGUUAAUACCUAGAGAUAGUGGACGUUACUCGCAGAAUAAGCACCGGCUAACUCUGUGCCAGCAGCCGCCGCCG